RNAcentral lists this long non-coding RNA (8862 nucleotides) under Manihot esculenta (cassava). RNAcentral describes it as "long non-coding RNA (MESC_LNC006711)". Lineage: Eukaryota; Viridiplantae; Streptophyta; Magnoliopsida; Malpighiales; Euphorbiaceae. The record is from RNAcentral.
UUUUCGCUUGUUUUUGAAGUUUUAAACUUGGAUCCAAGAUUUUAAAAAGUUUGGAGACAGUUUGUCCUCAACUCCAAGUUUGGGUCGCAUUUACCUUAGAUCUUCAAGAGGUAAGUAUAGAUUCUUGCCUUUUUCUAUGUUUUAAGUAAGUUUUAAAAAGGGUUAAGGGUUAAUAAUGCAUGAAAUGGCUAGAUCUAGGAUUAUAGGCUUUGAGUUGGGUUUUGAUGAAUGUAUGCUCCCUCUUGUGUUUUGUUGUUGUUUGUUUGGGGUUUAGGCUAGUUCUUAUACUCCUUAAGCAUGUUGGAGUGAGUAUGCAUGUUGUGGGAAGUUGGGUGUGAGGAUUUGAGAGUUUUGGGGCUGAAAUGCUUAAGACAGAAUCGGGUUCUGCCAUUCUGGGGAACCCAGGUUCGGCCGCCGAACCUGCAUGGGAGGCAGCCUUUUGGCCGCCUAACAUGCCCCCGAAAGUUUUUGACUUUCGGAUCUGUGGAGGACUUUCGGCCGCCGAACCUGCACUUGAAGGACCCUGACUUUCGGAUCUGUAGAGGACUUUCAGCCGCCGAAUCUGCCGCCGAAAGUCCUCUACCCAGCCUUCCUUUGCUUGUUUUAUAUACAUUUUUUGUGAUAUUUUAGGGGUUUUUGGGGAGUUGUUUAGAGUCUUGUCCCUCAUUUGUGUUCACCUGUGUAGGAUCGAACCAGGGAGACCGUAGAGGCCUUCAGUGAGCCAGCUACAUCUUUGUCCGUCGAGUGUUAGCCAGAGGUGAGUAGAACUGAACUAAUAUCUUGUUUUAAAGUAAUCAAGUUUUUUUGAGCAUGUUCAUGCAUCACGAAUGCCAUGCUAUGUAACAGGUUGUUUGCAUUAGAAUUCACGAAUAUGAUGCAUUGCAUAUGUACCGUUGUUGUUGUUGUGGAUUGAUAUUGGAUGACCCAUUAGCCCUUGAGCAGGUUAUGUUAUGACGGAUACGGAAGACUAGGGCUGCCCAUUCUACGCGCCCUGAUACUAUGUAAGAGAAAGACUAGGGCUACUCAUUCUACGCCCGUGGCAUUUAUGGAUAUGCUAUGUUAUGUUUAAGAGGAAGUUCUGAGGAGCUCCGUCGAGGGCCGGACACUAAUUGGAAUAUGUAGGGGGUUACUGGUGAUAAGUCCAUCCUUGAUGUGUAUUGUUUGUGUUGUGAUGCUUUUCAUGAGAGCAUAUGUUUAUUAAAUUGUUUUUAUGUUCUGCUCACUAGGCUCUUGUAGCUUAUCCUUUUCCCCUAACCCCAGGUUUGCAGGGUCAAGAAUAGCUCAGGAGGUCGGCUAGAGGCUGAUAUAAGUUUAUGUAAUAGAAUAGUAGUGGACAUGUACUAUGUAAUGGAUUAGAUUUGUACUUUGCCCUAGUUUAUGUUUUUUAAAUCCCUAUGAAUAUGAUUAUUAUGUAAAAAGUUUUAUGUAUAUGUUAUGUUGAACCAAGUUGAGGCAUGUAUGUUGACCAUACUGAAGCAUUUGAUGAGGGCUUUAGUAUGGGUUUUAUGUUUUCAGUUUAUGAUACAUGCACAGGUUAAGUUUGGUUUCAUGGUAAUGUUUAAGUUUUUGUUAAAAUGUUUGAUCAUGUAUGGGAUUUUAUCAGGUACACAGGAUGUAUAGUAGGCUUGCUACGGGUUCCGGCGACCUUAAGUCGACCUGAAUUCUAGCGUCGGUAGGGGGCCGGUUUCCGGGUCGUUUAUAUGGUCGGACGAGUGUCGGGCUCAUAGAUGUUAUAGAAGGGCAAGCACAUUAGGAAAAAUCAUGUCCACUAGGAUAGAAUGUAGAGUCCUGUCUUGAUGAUGAUGUGUAAUGCCAUGACUAUAUGCAUGUGCGUUAAUGAUAUGUUAUGUAUAUGAUGUGGGUUCAUGUGUAUCCACAUGAACCAUAUGAUUGCUAAUAUUUAUGUGAUGUAUGUUGUUUUUCAGAAAACAGAAUGCGAGGUUCACGUCGAUCUGCACGAUUGACAGGAGUUCCACCUGAGAAUGAGGGCAUGGAUGCCCUACCCCCUGCUCUGCCAAGAGCACGGUCAAGUAGAACCAACAGAGGAGAAACAUCAAGGGACUCUAGAAGGUCUUUUGAUGUAAACAGGAGGAGAACAGAUCCGGGUAGGAUGUCUGCUGAUGUGAGGGAAUCAGUUGAGGAUGAUCAGAGGAGAGAUGGAAGUUUGGGUGUCAGUAUGUCAGAAGAGGGUAUGGGAGAAUCACAAGGAGGCGCUCAGGCCUCGAGUUUUGCUUACCCACCACAGUACCAACCCUACCCACAGGGACUAGGGUAUCCGAUAGGAGGCACAUCGGAUUUCUCUAGCUACAACCCAUAUCCCUCAUUCAUGCCCUAUCCUCCUUUUUACCCACCAUAUCCACCUUAUCCCAUGUUUUCACCCCCACCUUUUUAUCAGAACCCAGCAAACCCUAACCCAGGGAAUCCUGCACCACCUCCUCCUCCCUCAGUAGAACCAGUGGUUCCUGAAACCCAAUCAUCCAAACCCAACCAAUCAGAUGGGAGCAAGGUAAAAAUGACAGACUAUCUAAAGUUGAAUGUUCCCAAAUUUAAAACAGGUGAUGAUCCGUUUGAGUAUCUCAAGAGGGUGAAAAUGAUAACUGAUGAGUUGGGAGCCAGUGACAGCAUAGCCAUUCAAACGGCGGGGUUCACUCUUAAAUGCAAGAAGGCUAAGAAGUGGUUUAAAAAUUAUGUGGACCCAAGACUGGAUAGCUUAUCCUGGGAGCAGUUUGCUAAUGAGUUUGCAGGAUUGGCUUUUUCUGACAGUUCAAGGGAGCUAAAAGUGAUAGAGUUUGAGCAGCUGAGGCAGACCGAAGACAUGAGUGUAGAUGAAUACACAGACAAAUUUUUGGAGUUGCUCCAGUUUGUGGGGCAAGCAUAUGACACCGAUCAGAAGAAAGCCAGGAGGUAUACCAUGAGACUCCACUCUAGGUAUUCCUCCUUAAUUUUAGCAGCAGAGAGGGAGAGUUUCCAUACUAUUGUGGAUGUAGCACGAAAGAUGGAGGCUAGUGCCAUUAUUCAGGGGACAGUAAAGCAACAGGUGGCACAGUUCUCGGGUUCCAAAAUCUCAAGUACAGGGAAUAUUGAUCUCUCCUCUCUGGGUGCAGCCGCCACAGAAGGUAAAAAGUGGACCAGGUCCACUAAGAAGCCCAAGAAGAACAAGUUCUGGAACAGGUUAAAGUCGGGUCUGGGAAUGGGUGGUGGUUCGAGCUCUGGUUCGGAUAGCUCCGGAUGUAUGAGGUGCGGUAAGCCGCACAAAGGGGUUUGUCGGUUUGGGACUACAGCAUGUUUCAGAUGUGGACAGGAAGGGCACAUGGCACGUGAGUGUCCCAAUGCAGUUAUGAUGGCUCAGUCCCAGCGGACAGCUUCUGGCAGCGUGGCCCAGCCAGCAGCUCCAACCAUGUCACAGGACAGAGAUCAAGGUAGAGGGAGAGGGACAGCCUCUUCUUCAGCAGGUUCCCACGGAGAAGGUCCAUCAGCUCCAGCACGGAUCUUUACCAUGACUCAGCAGGAGGCUAAUACAUCGAACACGGUGGUGUCAGGUAAUCUCACUAUUGGAUGUUCUGAUGUGUAUGCUUUUAUGGACCCUGGUGCUUCUCAUUCUUUUAUUGCUCCGAGUGCCGUAGAGAGUUUGGGUUUGAUAGCUUUUGGGCUAGAGUAUCCUCUUUGGGUCAGUGGAUCCAAGUGUGAUCCAUCUGUGGCAGAGUCAGUCUGUCGAUUCAGUCCAGUUUUUGUUGAGGGUAGGUGCCUUCCAGCUGACCUUGUGGUUCUAGAAUUGACCGAUUUUGACGUCAUUCUAGGGAUGGAUUGGUUUUCUACUCAUGGUGCUACCUUGGAUUGCAGAGACAAGGUAGUCAGGUUCAGAGAUCAGGAUGGAUCAGAGGUAGUCUUCAGAGGGGACAAGAUAGGGAUGCCUAGAGGUUUAAUAUCAGCCCUACAGCCUCGUAGGCUGCUUAGGAGGGGUUGUCAGGGGUUCAUUGCUCAUGUCAGAGAGCUUAACAGUUAGGUUAGGGAACCAGCCUCAGUGCCUGUAGUCAAAGAGUUCCUAGAUGUCUUCCUAGACGAACUGCUAGGUUUAUCACCUGCUAAGGAGAUAGAAUUUGAAAUUGAAGUAAUGCCAGGAACCAGACCCAUCUCUAUUCCUCCCUACAGGAUGGCACCUGCAGAAUUGAAAGAGUUAAAGGAGCAGUUGCAGGAGUUGGUAGAUAAGGGUUUUAUCCGACUUAGUACCUCACCUUGAGGUGCUCCGGUCCUGUUUGUGAAAAAGAAGGAUGGAUCCUUAAGACUUUGUAUCGACUACAGACAGUUGAACAAGGUCACUACCAAGAACAGGUAUCCGCUACCUAGGAUUGACGAUCUAUUUGACCAGCUAGCAGGAGCCGGUUGUUUCUCCAAGAUAGAUUUGAGAUCCGGGUACCACCAGUUGAGGGUCAGAGAAGAAGAUGUGCCAAAGACAGCUUUCAGGACCAGAUAUGGGCAUUAUGAGUUCCUAGUGAUGUCGUUCGGGCUGUCCAAUGCUUCUGCAGCAUUCAUGGACCUCAUGAACAGAGUUUUAAGUCAAUUUCUGGAUCACUUCGUUAUUGUCUUCAUUGACGAUAUCUUAAUGUAUUCCAGGAAUGCAGAGGAGCAUGCCCAUCAUCUGAGGACAGUGUUGCAGACCGUGAGAGAACACGGCUUGUAUGCCAAGUUCUCUAAGUGUGAGUUCUGGUUGAGGAGCAUUUCUUUCUUGGGGCAUGUAGUGUCAAAAAAGGGAAUUUAGGUAGAUCUCAAGAAAGUUGAAGCUGUAGCUAACUGGCAUAAACCCACUACAGUGACAUAGAUUAAAAGCUUUUUGGGUUUGGCGGGUUACUACAGGAGAUUUGUCCAGGACUUCUCAAAAAUUGCAGCUCCUAUGACCAGGCUGACCAAAAAGAAUCAGAGAUUUGUUUGGUCAGAACAGUGUGAGGAAAGCUUUGAAGAGCUGAAGAGAAGGUUGACGUUAGCACCGGUGUUAGCUUUGCCUACAAGUGAUGAGGAUUUCACAGUGUUUUGUGAUGCAUCCCGAGUGGGACUAGGCUGUGUGUUAAUGCAGAAUGUGAGGGUAAUUGCUUAUGCUUCUAGGCAGCUGAAGAAACACGAGUUGAAUUAUCAUACACAUGAUUUAGAGAUGGCAGCUGUGAUCUUUGCACUCAAAAUGUGGAGGCAUUACCUCUAUGGGGUAAAAUGUGAGAUCUUUACAAAUUAUAAGAGUUUGCAAUACAUCUUGAGUCAGAAAGAGUUGAACCUGAGGCAGAGAAGAUGGGUAGAACUGCUUAGUAACUAUGAUUACAAGAUCCAGUACCAUCUGGGGAAAGCAAAUGUAGUAACAGAUGCUCUUAGCCAGAAAUCACUUGGCAGUUUAUCCCAUAUUACAGCAGAGAGGAGAUCAGUGGUGAGGGAAUUUUACAGGCUCAUUAAUGAAGGGUUACAGCUGGAGUUGUUUGGUACAGGUGCACUAGUAGUUCAGAUGAGAGUGACACCCGUGUUUCUGGAGCAGGUGGCAUAGAAACAGCAUGAGGACCCCGAGUUGGUGAAGAUAGCGAGGACUGUUCAUGCGGGCAAGAAUGGUGAGUUUAGAUUUGACAAAAAAGGGAAUUCUCCGUUACGGAAACAGAUUAUGUGUACCAGAUGACAUGAGUUUGAAGGGAGACAUUAUGAGAGACUCAUAAUGCUAGGUAUAGUGUUCACCCUGGGACCACCAAAAUGUACCAGGAUCUGAAGAGAGUUUAUUAGUGGCCAGCUAUGAAAAGGGAAGUGGCGCAGUUUGUGUCCGCUUGUGAAAUAUGCCAGAGAGUGAAGCUAGAGCAUUAGAAGCCAACUGGAAUGCUCAACCCGCUACCGAUUCCAGAGUGGAAAUGAAAAAAUGUGGCAAUGGAUUUCAUAGUGGGGUUAUCAGCCACGUCCAGCAGGUUAGAUUCUAUCUGGGUAAUAGUGGACAGAUUGACUAAAUCUGCUCACUUCAUUCCUGUCAGGAGUGGUUACUCGGUGGACAAGCUGGCACAGGUUUAUGUGGAGGAGAUCGUCAGGCUUCUUGGGGCUCCAGUUUCAAUUGUGUCAGAUAGGGGACCCCAGUUUACCUCCAGGUUUUGGCGGAGUCUGCAGAAUGCUAUGGGCACGAGGUUGGAUUUUAGCACUGCCUUUCAUCCACAGACUGACGGACAGUCAGAGAGGACUAUCCAAACUAUAGAAGAUAUGUUAAGAAUGUGUGUGCUAGAUUUUGGCGGAUCUUGGAGGCAACAUCUACCACUGGUGGAAUUUGCCUAUAAUAACAGUUAUCAUGCUAGCAUAGGGAUGGCUCCUUGUGAAGUUCUAUAUGGGAGGAAGUACAGGUCACCUGUUUGUUCGGAAGAAGUGGGAGAGAGGGCUUUAGCAUGGCCAUAAUUGGUUGAGAUCACCAGCAGUGUAGUGCCUAUUAUCAGAGAAAGAAUCAGAACUGCUGUGAGUCGGCAGAAGAGUUAUGUAGAUGUCCGCAGAAAAUAUGUUGAGUUCCAAGAGGGAGAUAUGGUGUUGCUCAAGGUGUCUCCUAUGAAAGGGGUUAUUCGUUUUGGAAAGAAAGGUAAGCUAGCUCCACGGUACAUCGGACCCUUCGAGAUCUUGCAAAAGGUUGGAAAUGUAUCUUACAAGCUGGACUUACCUGCUUCCAUGGAGAAAAUCCAUUCGGUUUUCCAUGUUUCCAUGUUACGGAAGUUCGUGUCAGAUCCGGGCAAAGUUCUUAAUGAACCUGAUGUAGAGAUCUUAGGAGAUCUCACCUAUGUUGAGCAGCCAGUUCGGAUUGUAGACACGCAGAUCAGAAAGUUGAGGAACAAGGAAAUCGCGAUGGUGAAAAUUAUUUGGAAUCACCACAAUCUGAAAGAAUGUACAUGGGAGACUCGGGAGUCAAUGCUUAAGCAAUACCCCUUUCUCUUUUAAAGUAAGUGUUUUAAGUUUUAUGUGCUUUCUUGAUGUUUAUGUUUGCUUGUUGAACAUUCGAGGAUAAAUGUUCUUAAGGGGGGAAGAAUGUAAUACCCUGCUAGACUCCGGCAUCGGAAUUCCAACAUUUCGACGAAAUUCCCGUUGGAAUCAGGAAUCUUGGAUGUCGAAACAUCCUAGAAGGGUAAAAUACGUUUUUACAAAAUGAUUUUCAUGGUUUUAUUGGUUGGUUUUGAGUUAAAAUUUUAAAAGAAAAGAAAAUGUUUUUUUUGGAGGAAAGCCAGGUUCGGUCGCCGAACAUGGUGCUGUCGUGGGAGCUCUCCUUUCGGCCCCCGAAGGUGGUCUGGCCAGCCACUUAUAAGAGGCCUCCAGUCCAAAAAUGGGGGAGUUUCUCUCUCUAUUUUCGGGCAAAAGUGAGUUCUUGCCUUUUCUUUGAUGAUUUUAUGUUUUUCCUUCAAAUCUUUAAAUUUUCAUGAGUUUUCGCUUGUUUUUGAUGUUUUAAGCUUGGAUCCAAGAUUUUAAAAUGUUUGGAGACUGUUUGUCCUUAACUCCAAUCUUGGGUCGCAUUUACCUUAGACCUUCAAGAGGUAAGUGUAGAUUCUUGCCUUUUCCUAUGUUUUAAGUAAGUUUUAAAAAGGGUUAAAGGUUAAUAAUGCAUGAAAUGGCUAGAUCUAGGGUUAUAGGCUUUGAGUUGGGUUUUGAUGAAUGUAUGCUCCCUUUUGUGUUUUGUUGUCGUUUGUUUGGGGUUUAGACUAGUUCUUAUACCCCUUAAGCAUGUUGGAGUGAGUAUGCAUGUUGUGGGAAGUUGGGUGUGAGGAUUUGAGAGUUUUGGGGCUGAAAUGCUUAAGACAGAAUCGAGUUCUGCCAUUCUGGGGAACCCAGGUUCGGCCGCCGAACCUGCAUGGGAGGCAGCCUUUUGGCCGCCUAACAUGCCCCCGAACCUGCUGCCAAAAGUUCUCUACCUAGCCUUCCUUUGCUUGUUUUAUAUGCAUGAUUUUAUGAUGUUUUAUGGGGUUUUUGAGGAGUUGUUUAGAGUCUUGUUAGAGUUAUGUUUGGUCCUUCAUUUGUGUCCACCUGUGUAGGAUCGGACCAGGGAGGCCGUAGAGGCCUUCAGUGAGCCAGCUGCGUCUUUGUCAGUUGAGUGUCAGCCAGAGGUGAGUAGAACUGAACUAAUAUCUUGUUUUAAAGUAAUUAAGUUUUUUUGAUCAUGUUCAUACAUCACAAAUGCAAUGUUAUGUAACAGGUUGUUUGCAUUAGAAUUCAUCACAAAUGUCAUGUUAUGUAACAGGUUGUUUGCAUUAGAAUGCAUCACAAAUGCCAUGUUAUGUAACAGGUUGUUUGCAUUAGAAUUCAUGAAUAUGAUGCAUUGCAUAUGUACUGUUGUUGUGGAUGGAUAUUGGAUGACCCACUAGCCCUCGAGCAGGUUAUGUUAUGACGGAUACGGAAGACCAGGGCUGCCCAUUCUACGCGCCCUGACGCUAUGUAAGAGAAAGAUUAGGGCUGCCCAUUCUACGCCCCUAGCAUUUAUGGAUAUGUUAUGUUAUGUUUAAGAGGAAGUCCUGAGGAGUUUCGUCGAGGGCCGGGCAUUAAUUGGAAUAUGUAAGGGGUUAUUGGUGACAAGUCCAUUCUUGAUGUAUAUUGUUUGUGUUGUGAUGCAUUUCAUGAGAGCAUAUGUUUAUUAAACUCUUUUUAUGUUCUGCUCACUAGACUCUUGUAGCUUAUCCCUUUCCCCUAAUCCCAGGUUUGCAGGGUCAAGAGUAGCUCGGGAGGUCGGCUAGAGCCUGGUAUAAAUUUAUGUAAUAGAAUAGUAGUGGACAUGUACUAUAUAAUAGAUUAUAUUUGUGUUUUGCCCUAAUUUAUGUUUUUUUAAAUCCCUGUGAAUGUGAUUACUAUGUAAAAAGUUUUAUGUAUAUGUUAUGUUGAACCAAGUUGAGACAU